UAUAAAAUCCACCUUUGGAGGAAAACGCAAACAGGUUCCAUGUAAAAAGCAAGACCCCCUCCUCCUCCUCCUCCUCCGUCAGUCCAGGGUCUCUCGCGGCUCGUCCUCCAUCCUCCGUUCGGCCGGACACACACACACACACGCGCGCGCUGAACCGCACUGAGGUCCGCCUCUGUCGCUCUGAUCCCGCUUCCACUCACUGGCGUGCUUUUCUGCGCUUUAAACUCCGAAUGCUUUUAAGGAAAGACGGAGCGAAAACCUGGAGUGGAGUGCGGCGACAACUGGAUCCGGAACAACCGCUUUGCAUUCAUGAGACAGACAGAUGUUUUUCAAAGUCAGUUUAUGGAAGAAAAAAGGAUGGCAAAAGUAUUGUGCUGUGAACUGCUGAGCUGCACCUGUGAAUGAACACCUGUGUGAACUUCAUACAUCCAUGUGAGAGAGAUCCAGGACGAGAGAGCGCAGGUUAUUUUUGGGACAUAUAGAGAGUGAGAGUCUCAGUCGCUUGACCUCUGACCUCCACACUGCUUGUGUCUUUGUGAAACCAGCACAGCUGCCACGAGUGAGUGUGUUUCUAUAUCCGUCUGUUAAUGUGUGUGAGAGUCCGUGUGUGUGUUUGUCUAAAUAUGUCUCUCUGCUAAAACCACCAUCUCAUCUGUGACUCCAACUGCUUGAGACACUUAACCCGGUGUUCUCACCGUGAGAACGCUUUGUUUUACAUAUGAUUGACAAAAGCAGAGAGAGAAAAUACAGAGACAGAUCUAGAAAGAAAACAGAGCUGAACUGGAUUUGAACUCAUUUAAGGCUGUUUAAGGAUUUGUAAUCUGACAGAAUGAAGCCAAACGCUCACAUGACCUACAUCUGUCUGUAUCGGCUGUAUAUUGGCCUCUGCAUGGUUAAAUAUUAAAUAUGAAUGUGUAAUCUAGAAAAAAGGCAGCUAAAGUUCACCUUAAUGAUGCAUUUAGACACUUUUCUCAUUUACAGGGUUUUUUUUUUUUUACACUAGAGUUACACUACUGUUUUAGCAUUUCAGUUAUUUUCUGAAAAGUGUGUCUGUGCUGUUUUUUUAUUUAUUUUUUUUUUAAAUAAAUGCCCUAACGUAAAAUAAAUAAAUUAAUACUGAAUUAAAAAUGAAUUAUUGUUAUAUUUUAUUUCUUAUAUAUGAGCAUUACCCUAUAUUAAUAACUAAUAUUACGUAAUCUUAGGACAUAUAUAUAUAUAUUUUUUUUUUUUUCAUAUAUUAAAAGUACAUUUAUAAAUUAACAUUACCCUAAAUUAAUACAUAAAACAAUAACAUGUUAUUAUUAAAAUAUUUUAUUAUAAAUAUAUUAAUAUAUCAAUUAACACUGAAUUAACAAUGAACAAUAGUAUAUUUUCUAAUUAAGAUUAACCUUUGUUAAUAAAUGCUAUAAAUUAGUUCAUGAUACUUAAUGCAUUAAUUUUUGUUAAUGAUUUGAACUUUACUGGAAAGUAUUAACAUUACUGUUCCUAGUUCUGGAGGGACUUUGAGUGGGGGCCUAUGGAGUUAAAACUAGAUCUAUUGUUUGAGCAUUUCCAACUUGUUUUUCUGAAUUGUUUUGCCUGAAAAGUGUGCCUGUGAGGUCUCUUUUGUAAAAUAUAUGCCCUUGUUCUGACAUUCUCUUAUGUAAUGCAGUGAUAUGCGUACAUUAAGUGUGAUUUAAGUGUUAAAUACACUGUGGACUCUUCCAGACUGGCUG
Cyprinus carpio carpio is the source of this 1715-nucleotide long non-coding RNA. The record is from Ensembl. NCBI's taxonomy places the organism in Eukaryota, Metazoa, Chordata, Actinopteri, Cypriniformes, Cyprinidae.